UCCGCAAUAGUAUAGUGGCUAUUAUCCCUGCCUGUCACGCAGGAGACCCGAGUUCAAUUCUCGGUUGCGGAG
Molecule: non-coding RNA, 72 nt
Organism: Nymphaea colorata (pocket water lily)
Lineage: Eukaryota; Viridiplantae; Streptophyta; Magnoliopsida; Nymphaeales; Nymphaeaceae
Source: the annotation of a RefSeq genome assembly